Pseudophryne corroboree (corroboree frog) is the source of this 683-nucleotide long non-coding RNA. RefSeq lists it as uncharacterized. The record is from RefSeq and is a predicted model, not a curated record. NCBI's taxonomy places the organism in Eukaryota, Metazoa, Chordata, Amphibia, Anura, Myobatrachidae. The transcript is spliced from 2 exons.
UCCCAAUAAAUCAAGACCCAAGAGGGUGGAUCUCUUUCUUAACUAGAAACGAGCAGAAUCAGACACUGAAAAAGGUCCACGGUAGGGAAUUCAACAGACCAUUAUCGAAGUGUUACCCUGUGUUCUAUCUUCAGGGACCUCCUGCCUGCCGUUUGUUUCAGCUUUGUGUAAGAUAACAGAAGAAAAACUGUAUUGAGGCCAUCUGUACAGCAGCAUUGAAAACAGGAAAAUAUGAACAUUCUAGAUUGUGAGCCAGACGGAAAGGAGACAUGAGGGCGGAGCUAUGGAUUGAUCACAGACUAUAAACUGCUUAGUGUGGCAGUAAUGCCAGUUUUUCCACUUACAGGUUUUUCCCCUGUUUACAGGGAAAAUUGGCUAUGAUUACAUGUAGUGUUUCUACUUUCUGGCAUUAUUUUCUGAGUACAGGGAUAUAUAAUUCUGAUACUUUGCUUUGAGGCUAUGGUAAGUCAGAUGUCUGGAAUGAUGGAAACAGAUAAUGCAACUCUGUAUUUGUAACUGUUACUUUCUGUAGUGUAACUCUAUGUACCAGUCCUUUGCCUGCUUUAUCAUUUGCUUGUUACCCGGACCAGCAUAUUUUUUCGGGGGUAUAUGCCAUUUUUCUUAGACCACUCCGUGUACCAGUAUCUGUCUGUUGACUACCAUCCAGCCUAUGGCAGUAGAAA